AUUACAGAGUUAUCCAACUCCCAACCCUUUGUGAACCUUACCGCAGUUGCCUCGGCGCGAGCCGCGGCUACCCUGCAGCUACCCUGUAGCUGCCGCGUAGCACGCACAUGGCCCGCCGGUGGACAGCUAAACUCUUGUAUGUACACAAGUAUGUCUGAUUGCUUAAAUAAAAUAAGUCAAAACUUUCAACAACGGAUCUCUUGGUUCUGGCAUCGAUGAAGAACGCAGCGAAAUGCGAUAAGUAAUGUGAAUUGCAGAAUUCAGUGAAUCAUCGAAUCUUUGAACGCACAUUGCGCCCAUUAGUAUUCUAGUGGGCAUGCCUAUUCGAGCGUCAUUUCAACCCUUAAGCCUCUGUCGCUUAGCGUUGGGAGUCUACGUCUACAGCGUAUCUCCUCAAAGUUAGUGGCGGUGCUGGAGCACACUCUCAGCGUAGUAGUUUUCUUCUCGCUUCUGUAGUGGCCCCUGCAGCCUGCCGUAAAACCUCCAACACUUAGUGGUUGACCUCGGAUUAGGUAGGAAUACCCGCUGAACUUAAGCAUAUCAAUAAGCGGAGGAAAAGAAACCAACAGGGAUUGCCCUAGUAACGGCGAGUGAAGCGGCAACAGCUCAAAUUUGAAAUCUGGCCCUCGCGGUCCGAGUUGUAAUUUGUAGAGGAUGCUUUUGGUGCGGCGCCUUCCGAGUUCCCUGGAACGGGACGCCGGAGAGGGUGAGAGCCCCGUACGGUUGGACGCCUAGCCUAUAUAUAGCUCCUUCGACGAGUCGAGUAGUUUGGGAAUGCUGCUCUAAAUGGGAGGUAAAUUUCUUCUAAAGCUAAAUACCGGCCAGAGACCGAUAGCGCACAAGUAGAGUGAUCGAAAGAUGAAAAGCACUUUGAAAAGAGGGUUAAAUAGCACGUGAAAUUGUUGAAAGGGAAGCGUUUGCGACCAGACUUUUUCCAGGGGAAUCAUCCGGUGUUCUCACCGGUGCACUUCCCCUGGUUUAGGCCAGCGUCGGUUCUCUUAGGGGGAUAAAGGUUUGGGGAACGUAGCUCUUUCGGGAGUGUUAUAGCCCCUUGCGUAAUACCCUUCGGGGGACCGAGGAUCGC
This 1084-nucleotide ribosomal RNA is filed under the name fungal endophyte. RNAcentral describes it as "eukaryotic LSU rRNA". The stretch from base 499 to 1084 matches the Rfam family "Eukaryotic large subunit ribosomal RNA", at positions 1 to 596 of the family's 3401-position model. The record is from RNAcentral. Lineage: Eukaryota; Fungi.